This 390-nucleotide ribosomal RNA is filed under the name Triticum aestivum (bread wheat). RNAcentral describes it as "partial small subunit ribosomal RNA". Lineage: Eukaryota; Viridiplantae; Streptophyta; Magnoliopsida; Poales; Poaceae. The record is from RNAcentral.
AUGGCCGCGGGGCUUCCUCCACGAGCUGGAGUAUCAUCCUGGUUCAUGAACCCUCCGGUUGUGUUUCCUAAAACAACUUCUACCAGAUCAAAUCAGGGCAGCUGGGGAGCUGGUGCUGAAGGGGAAGAGAGCUAUGUCCAAGAGAACUUUUCUGUCGAUAAUCAUGAAGAUUCAGAGGGAUUGUUGCAUGCUAAUGAUGUGAUGCAAGAUGAUCAGAUGAUGGAGAUGUUUCAUCACAUCCAUUAUCGCCCUAUGUUGGCAUGGUGUUUGACACAUUUGAGGAUGCCCAGAAAUUCUACAAUGACUAUGCCUUCAAGUUGGGAUUUGGCACACAUAUAUCUUCUACAAAGUACAACCAAAAGAGAGGAUAGAAGCAAGAGGAUGCAAUAA